This is a non-coding RNA of Lactuca sativa (garden lettuce), 1106 nucleotides long. The record is from RefSeq and is a predicted model, not a curated record. NCBI's taxonomy places the organism in Eukaryota, Viridiplantae, Streptophyta, Magnoliopsida, Asterales, Asteraceae.
UUGGUUGCAUCAUUGGCUAGGACUUUUUUUUUUUUUUGCUUUUCAUAUCAUAUAUUUUUAUUUGUAUGUUAUCUAUACAGCCACCGACUACAACCACGUGUGUCUUACACCGCCUCUAACAUCCAAUACCGUACCGGCAGGUUUCCAUCACCACCUCGAUUUCUUUCGUCCACCGAUCGUUUCCUUCUUUUCUUCUUCAGUUUCUCAUUCUUUCCAAAAACCUCCGGUUGCUUCUCACAAGCAUUCCCACCCCACCGCUUCUCUUUGCUCCGCCUCCCAUUGACGUCUAACAAAUUAUCCCUUCAUAUUCUUACCCAUCAAUGUAGGUGAAAUCCCUAGCGAUAGUUCCAUGAUUAGGCCCUUCAAAGAUAGAAAUCUACUUUCGAUUGAAAGAUAGAAAUCUACUUUGGUGAAAAAGAAAUAUGCCAUGUUAGGUCUACCCGAAGGUCCAUAAACAGUGAAAAAUCGCAAACCAGUAAUUGAUAGAUCGUAGAUAUGAGUGUAAGCAUGAGCGAUUUUUUCACCGGAUUUCUUUGUGGCGGCGUAAAGGGUCACCGGUUGAUCGGUUCGAUCGAAGAGAGAGAGAGAGAGAGACGACGACGAAGAGGGUGAGGUCGAUUUAUUCGACUGAUACCGAUUGCGCUUUACAGAUUUUGUGAUUGAUUUGUUUGUCUCUGGUGAGCCGGAUCUUCCACCGCCUCCGAUUCAAUUCAUGAAUUGGCUCUGUGAAAUUGGAGCUGGCGUCUGUGACAUGAUGAAUGGGUGCUUAUUUAGCAUGUUGAAUGUUGGAUUUUGUCCUGGCAAUGGGAGCUUUUAUAGAACCAGCAGGAUGGUAGUAGCAGCCAUGUUCAACUCUUUAAGGAAAAGGGUCCAUGGGAGAUGGAUGCUCAUGAAAGAGUCGAAGCAGCUGGGAAGAAGAAAGAAGAAGGAAAUAUUCUUUGUAGGUGCUUUCAAUUCACCAAUUUGUUUUACCGUUGAAAGUUUCUUGCUGUUUUGGAAUAAUUUCAAUUGUUGAACUUUUAUUUCUGGCUUGAGCGCUGAUGUCCUUAUUAGUGGUUGUAUAAUUGUAUUGGGGUGCUGAUAUUUUGAGCCUCCUUAUUUGAUCU